Molecule: ribosomal RNA, 477 nt
Filed under: uncultured bacterium
Lineage: Bacteria
Description: partial 16S ribosomal RNA
Rfam family: Bacterial small subunit ribosomal RNA
Source: RNAcentral
AUUGAACGCUGGCGGCAUGCCUUACACAUGCAAGUCGAACGGUAACAGGUUAAGCUGCCGAGUGGCGAACGGGUGAGUAAUGUAUCGGAACGUGCCCAGUCGUGUGGGAUAACUGCUCGAAAGAGCAGCUAAUACCGCAUACGACCUGAGGGUGAAAGCGGGGGAUCGCAAGUCCUCGCGCGAUGGGAGCGGCCGAUAUCAGAUUAGGUAGUUGGUGAGGUAAAGGCUCACCAAGCCGACGAUCUGUAGCUGGUCUGAGAGGACGACCAGCCACACUGGGACUGAGACACGGCCCAGACUCCUACGGGAGGCAGCAGUGGGGAAUUUUGGACAAUGGGCGCAAGCCUGAUCCAGCAAUGCCGCGUGAGGGAAGAAGGCCUUCGGGUUGUAAACCGCUUUUGUCAGGGAAGAAAAGGUUCUGGCUAAUACCUGGGAGUCAUGACGGUACCUGAAGAAUAAGCACCGGCUAACUACGUG